Long non-coding RNA from Ictalurus punctatus (channel catfish), 7585 nucleotides. The record is from Ensembl. NCBI's taxonomy places the organism in Eukaryota, Metazoa, Chordata, Actinopteri, Siluriformes, Ictaluridae.
AUAUAUAUAUAUAUAUAUCGCAUGUCAGGUAUCACAUAGCCUUCACAAUAUCUGCAUAUGCUUUCGUUCUGAUUCUAAUCAAGCCCUGUUUAUCCCACAGCCCCCCUCUGGCCGAAGACGCUUCUGCCUCAACAGAUCCGACGAGGAAGAAGAGGAGGAGGAGAAGGAAGAAAAGCGCACAGCCCGAAGCUCCUACCGCUGCUAAUACACCUGGGACAGCUACCUGAAUUACAGGGGCAAGCCGGAGAUGUUACACUUCUAUACACUCACAAAAAAAGCAAAUACACAAACUCUCUCUCUCUCUCUCACUCACACACACACUCUCACACACACUCUCUCACACACACACAUUCUAACAUUGGCAUCUAUUUUGGAUGCAAAUGAGAGGAUCUCUAUUUAGGAGAAGUACUUUAGAACACCAUCAUCCAUCUGUAUACUGUGCGCGCGCACACACACACACACACACACACACACACACACACACACACAGAGCUCUCACUUUUGGUGAUGUUACUUCUACUUUCGUGCAUUGUGUUAUAGAUACUUAUGCCAUUGAGUAUCAAAGACGCACUACACUGGAAGUUUUUUGUUGUUGUUGUUGGACCUGCUUUGUGUUGCCCCCCCAAUUGCUUCCCCAGAGUGUACUGCAGCAUUCCUCCUGGUUUCUGCCCUGCUCGGCCAGUGGUGCUGCUAGCUGCCGGCCCACGUUGAGCUGAGCUAAAGAAAUCCGGCAUUAGCUUGCUAGAAUAAAGUGGGGAGAUUUGUCCUGUUUGCACUUCAUUAAAAAUAGGAAAAUGGAAAGAAAUACUGUUCUACCAAAAAAGCCUUUGUCGCAAGUGUGUACAUAGAUUUGAGGGGAAGUGGGUUUUUUUCCAUUACUUUAAAUCAGUGGAGAGUGGGAGUCGAGGAAGUAGUGUCAUCAAUUUAAGCUCAGCUUCCUGCAGGUAUGAGCAAACUCUCUCUCUUUCCCUCUCUCUCUCUCACACUCUCACUGCGUCCUGAGACCCUGAGCUGUCUUUCCUCAGCGAUCUUGCAGUGCAGUGAAUUCAUUUUUUCGUGCUGAAGAAGGCUGCAGCCCCUGUUUCUCCUCCAUCCUCACUGUGAUUUAAUGUGUUUUGGGAUAUCACACAUCAUUCACCUGACAGUACUGUGCUCAUGUUGGAAAUUUUUGGCUCAGCUGUCAUCUCCUUCCUUUUUCGCAUUGUUCUUAUGCUUACUGUGUUUCUUGCUCCUGGCAUACAUUCUUGUUUUCCAAAGGGAAUGUACUUGAUCCUAAGUUUGGUGACGAUUACCUUACCUAUUUUCUUUAUUGUCACAGUGGUCAAAUACUGGAAAAUUCAUCGUCAUUAACAGCUGUGAAUGGCUUUUAUAUUGAUAUUAUACAGCUAAACAACACACACGUGGCAUGAGCACAUGAAUAGAACUGAUGCUGUGAAUCCAUCUUUCUUUCCUCGCUUCCUUCCUUAUCUCCUUACACCCUUGCUUACUUACUACCUUCUUUCCGUAUUCCCUCAUUUCCUUCGUUCCUUAAGUAAGUAAGUAUGUCCCAAGUCGGAUUCUGCAGUAUUGUCAGCCUUACCUUUGACAUUUUAGAUAGCGCUGCACUUAACAAACCUCCUUCUGUUGUUGCUAUUAUUUUGCUUUCAUUAUAGUAUUUAUGGACUUGCGUUAAUGAACUGAGCAAAGUUGCCAAAUGCACACAGUUUUACAUAAAGCAUUGGAGAGGACUCGCUGCUUUUAUUUUAUUUUGAAGGGAGCCAGCAUUUGUUUCACAUGGUUUUUAUGGACUCUCGUAGGUCAGUGAUUUCAUCCUUGUUUCUAUGCAGUCAUUAUUAAUUUUAUUAUAAAGAGUGUGUGUUUUAUCAUGUUUCUGGCUCCAUACAAACACAUGACGAAAAGAUACAUAACACUGCUGGCUGUACACAUUAAUAUGAAUAUAUAAGUCUGUAUAAUUCAUCAUAGCUUUAAAAAUAACUCCUGUUUAUUUUCCUUAUUGAAUAAAUGGCCACUUGUUAUAAGUAAUAAUUUUUCCAUUAUGGUUUAAUAUAUUGUAAAUAAAUUAUGGUGAUUGUUCGACUUGCUUCAGUGUUCUUGAUUUCCUCAUUUCCUUCUCUGCAGUUUCUUCCAUGAAAGCUUGUCUUUAUAAAAUCCCUCUUUUUCCCCUCUGUUGCCAUCUUAAAUAUUCAGAUCAACAAAAAUGGGCUUUCAUUUUCAGAGGGUUUGUUUGGUUUGAGAAGCUGAGAAGCAACAUGCCAUAGUAGAGCAAGCAGUCUCUCUAUUUUAUUUUUUCUUUUCAAUCAUCAUUGCAAAAAAUGUCUGUUGUUUCAGGCCAUGUGUCAGAUGAAGCCGUACACAUCUCAAGCCACAGAAAAACUGCACAGCUACUGUAUAUCCGAAUAUGUAUGUUCUGUAAAAUUCACAGUAGUGUACAUAUUCCAGUAUUUCAGGAAGUUCAAUGCUAACUGCAAAAAGUCAUCAUGUCUGGGGUUUUUGGUCAUUUGAAUUGUGUUCAUCUCUAUACACGUACUAAUAAGCAAUAGCUGAAGAAUUAAAUUAAUAGCUAAGGAAUCUUAGGAAUCAUGAAAAUAAAAAUCAAUGCAUACCAGAAGUCGUGUUAAAACAGAUCUUCUAAAGAUAUUAUUAAGUAAAUAAAUAAAGCAAUCCCUGUCCAACCUGGCACAGUAUUUUUGGUUCGCUGCUAAAUGGAAAUAGAGACUGUCUAAAUUAUGUACAGUAAGUGCCAUUUGUCAUAGAGGCAGGUCGUGUGGACAAAUGGAAGGCUGCUGAAGAAAUGUGUAUCAGCAUUAUUGCAUAGGAGUCUAGGUGCAAAUAACAGCAUGCAGUGUAAUGCUUUUCGAAGAGAAGCUCAGAGAACAUCAGAAUAUUGGCAUGUCGGCCCCUGUUCUCCUGCCUCAUUUAGAUCGAUGAUGGUUUGGUCUAUUAGGUGUAGCGAAUUAUGAUAAUUAGAACAAUAUUGCAUGUGCACACCAGGUAUGAUAAUGAUUAUAGGUAAUGACUAAUUAUUAGAUGUGCAAUCAAACUUUAAUCUGAAUAAUAAAUUCAGUAAUGAAAUGAGUAAUGAGGUUACUAGAGCAUGUUUAACAUUCUCAGUAUAACAAAUAAAGAGUAAUAUUUUGACUACUUUAUCUCCUGGAAGAUAAGUACAACAGGCUUUAUUACAGUUGUGAUGGAACACGUGUUCAAAUCCAUGCCAACGAUCAGUAGUAUACAGGAAUACUGAGUCGGUCAAGUCAUUUUUUUGCAUAAUCGAGGCAUUGCUGUCAGGCAUAGGGAAAAUAUGUAAUGCCUUUUUUUUCUUCUUUUUUUUCCCCCCAUAUUUGCUUAUUCAGAUUGUAUUCAUAUUUGUUUUGUUCCCAAAUAAUAGCUCAGUUCCCGCAUUAAUUUUCAGUUGUGUUUUUCUUGCAGAGCAACUAAAUUGUGCAACUUACUGCUAACAAAAAGAUGGAGUCCGUGUGUAUUAACGUGAAACUGGUUCAGGAAGCAAAUGACGGUAUACACUGCAAUACAUAAGCCACUUAUAAAGGAAUGAGUUUUUUGUUUGUUUGUUUUGGUUUUGUUUUUUGUUCUCACCAAAUCAGCCACACAAUGUUUAUGCUCAUUUCAAUUAAAAGGAUGGAUCAGAACAAGUUUCACUAUUGUAAUACAGUAGUUAAACAUGGUCAUGCAUUUUCGCAGUUACUAUUGAUUCACAGUUGCACCAAUAUUCAUCUAAAGCACUGGAUUCUUUCUGUAUCUGACGUGACGUACACUCCCUGGACGGAACACCUGUACACCUGCUCAUUCAUGCAAAUAUUAAAUUGAACCAAUCAUAACCAAUCACAGCAGCAUAAUGCAUAAAAUCAUCCAGAUACAGGUCAAGAGCUUCAGAUGCUGUUCACAUCAGAAUGAGGGAAAAAAUGGUUGUUAGUUUAAAUGUUUUAGAAACUGUUGAUUUCCUGGGAUUUUCAUGUGCAGCACUCUCUACAGUAGGGGUGUUUAAUCUUAUCCGGAAAGGGCCGGAGUGGUUGCAGGUUUUCAUUCCAGUCAAGCGGGAGCCACGCCUGAUUCCACCUGUUUAAUCGGUUGAUCAUGCCUUCCAAUAGAUUCAGGUGUGGCUUCUGCUUGGUUGGAAUGAAAACCUGCACGCUUAUCCCUUUCCGGAUAAGACUGGACACCCUUGCGCUAGAGUUUACACAGAAUUGUGCAAAAACAUCCAGUGAGCUGCAGUGUUGUGGGCAGAAACACCUUGUUGAUGAGAGGUCAGAGGAGAAUGGCUAGACUUGUUCUAGCUGACAAGAGCGCUACGGUAGCUCAAAUUUUUAACCACUCUUUAUAACCGUGGUGAGCAGAAAAGCAUGUUAGAAAGCUUCAUGUUAAAUCUUGAGCUGUAUGGCCCACAAUGGCAGAAGCUGCCUCCUGUCAGCCAAGAACGGGAAUCUGAGGCUUACACUGGGCACAGGCUCACCGAAACUGCGUAGCUGAAGAUUGGAAAAACAUCAAGCUCUAAAAGUCUUGACAUGUAUCUGCAUGCUUUUAUGCAUUGCACUGCUGAGACAUGAUUGGCUGACUGGAUAGCACGCCGCAGAUGUUCGACACAAAGACAGAUCGCUUCUUAAAGCUUGCUGGCAUCGUACCUGUGAUCGAAAAUGAAAAAGUUGGCAUCCCGAGCCUUUAUCGUUCACAUCUUCAAACUUAUCCUCUUCACAACUUCAUUACAGACCACAAAUAAUGCAAUACGCUCUCACUGUGCUUGUGCUUAUGGAGAAAAGCUUCUAUCCCAUUAGGGCAUCUUCUUUGUGUUCCAGUUUCAGGACUCUCAUCUCUCAAAGCUGCAACCAGGUGAAGUGUGUUUGUGCGAGCCAAAAAAGACCAAUAGCUUGGAGCUUUUAGUGACGGGGCUUUGUUUGAUGUGUCGUGCUUUAGUGCAUUUCAUGUUCAGUACUGCUGAGCCCUUCGGUAGCUCUUUUAUUCAGGUUAGACCUUUACAGAGAGGUAAACAACUCAGGCUUUUCUAAAGAUAACUUUUAGAUGCGUUUUGUUCCUUCGGUGUUUUUACACUGAGACCUUGAUGAAAGCCAAUAUAAAGGUGUGGAGAGGUUACAAAGGUGGAGAAGACCAUUAGAGGUAAAGCUGUAAGUAAAAUUGAAGUUAUUUUCAGGUAUGAAUGCAUUUUCUUACAAUACAUGUCAUUAGUUAUACACUUUAAGUAAGCUUGUAAAUCAUGGUAGUAUGUAAAGUUUCUUGUUUUUUUGUUUGUUUGUUUGUUUGUUUUUUUAAAGAAAAAGCUCAAUAAAAAAAUACCUCAAUGACAGUGUAGUUACACUUCCGUGAGUCACCAUGGAAAGCCUGUAAUAAUAAUAAUAAUAAUAAUUUAUUAGUCUGAGAGGUCAGGUCAGGCUUGGUGUUGAGUCUCUGGGACUCAGCAUCACAGAUAUAUAUAUACCAUGAAAGAAAGUUCAGCUAGUCUUAAUGGCUGUAUGGAAGCCAGCACUGAUGUAGUGACCUGGAGGAUGCCACAGUGGCAAGAAAAAGUGUGUGAACCUUUUGGAAUUUCAUGGUUUUCACAUAAAAUGUGAUCUGAUCAUCAUCUAAGUCAAGGGUAUUGACAAAUAUAAUGCGUCUAAAAUAAUAACACAAAAUAAACUCUGAUCUUUCAUGUCUUUAUUGAGAACAACCAAAAAAACCUCAUAGUGCUUGUGGAAAAAGUAUCUGAACCCUUAAGUUAUUGACCUCAAAAAAGCUUCUCUUUUUUUGCACACCUGGAGUCUCGUUAAGAAAAUGAGUUUGGAGGUGUGGACUACAGCUACUUUGACUGAUAAAAACCCCUCAAACUGUUGGAGUUUGCUCUGCACAAGAACACACGCUUAUGUGAGCCAUGCCUCGCCAAAAAGCGCUUUCAGAGGCUCUAUGAUCAAGAAUUGUUGAUUUACAUAAAGCUGGCAAGGGUUACAAAGUGAUUUCAAAGACUUUAGAAAUUCAGCAGUCUACAGUUAGGCAAACCUCCUACAAAUGGAGACACUUUGGGACUGUUGCUACUCUACCAAGAAGUGGACGCCCAGUCAAAAUGACACCAAGAGCACGACGAAGACUCAUCAAUGAGGUAAAGAAACAACCCCGAAUGACAGCUAAAGAUUUGAAGGCAUCAUUGGAACUGGAUAACAUCUCUGUUCAUGAGUCUACAAUGCGUAAAACAUUGAACAAGCAGGGUAUCUACGGCAGGACACCAUGAAGGAACCACUGCUUACUAAAAAGAACAUUUCUGAAUGGCUGAAGUUUGCAACAUGAAAACAUCAUCCCAACCGUAAAGUAUGAUGGAGGAAACGUCAUGAUUUGGGCCUGCUUUGCUGCAUCAGGGCCUGGCCAGCUUGCAGUCAUUGAGCUGAAGAUGAAUUCCCAAGUAUAUCAGACAAUUCUUCAGGGUAAUGUGAGAAUGUCUGUACGUCAGCUGAAACUGUGUAGAAGUUGGGUGAUGCAACAGGACAACGACCCAAAACACCGGAGCAAGUCCACAACAGUGUGGCUUCAGAAAAACUAAAUCCGCCUUUGUAGUGGCCGAGUCAGAGCCCAGACCUCAACCCAGUAGAGAUGCUAUGGAAUGACUUGAAGGGGGGGUCAACCAUUUAUUAAUUGUAAGGGUUCACUUACUUUUUCCACUGCCAUUUUGAAUGCUGAAUGAGUGUGUUCAAUAAAGACACGAGGGAUCAGAAUUUAUUGUGUUAUUAAGUUAUAUUUAUCAGUACCCUUGACUUAGAUGAAGAUCAGAUCACAUUUUAUGACAAAUUUAUGCAGAAAACCAUGAAAUUCCAAAAGGUUCACAUACUUUUUCUUGCCACUGUACAUGGAGGAUAUGCCAAAGAAACAAUGAAAUGGUGCACUUGCAUGCAAAAAGGGAAAGCAACAGGGGAUGGAUGAAAAUAGAGGAGGAAUAUUGGCUAUUCACAGGUAGUGCCAUGGAAUUUGAGAGUGAUAAGCUGGCUUUCUGUCGGCUGAAAGAUGAUACGGUGUUUAGCUAGUUCAGUAGUUACCUAGCUAGGUUCUAAUACAAUAACCAGUCAACUUAAACUUGUAGAAUUUGUAGCUGAUGUUACCCAGUUCAAAGGUUGUUUUAGCUGGCAUUAGUCAGCUGGUCUGCAAAUUGUGUUUGUAUGUUGUGGGUUUAGUCUUUUGAGUCCAGUCUAUUGGGCGUGACUGGAUCAAAACUCCUGAUCGCUUUCAGUUUGUGUAUUUUGUUCUCUGCUUCCAGGAAUGCAGGGAGAAAAUAAGAAACUCCACUCAGAUAGUAACUUCAGCUCAGGAUCAAACUAUGAGCCCUAGGGCUGUGAAGCAGCAACACGACCAGCUGCACCACUGUACUGCCCCAGAUAAGUCUCUCAAUCCCCAAAUUGCCAAAAGUUGCAUACUUCUGCUGUAAAUGUGUACAGUAUGUACAAAAACAAAGUAUACAGUUUAAACUGUAUAAGCUCAGAAGCAGUGGCAUAGCUAGUAGUUACUUUCAGGCAGGAUGAGGAAAUAUAGUAAAUAAAGUCACUGUGUGAUCUGUACAAUGAAAUUCACUACUAGUCUCCUGGUGUGUAUGUAUGUAUGU